GGGGAAUAGCAGUGUCUAUACCACAGGGAUAAUAUGAAGGCUAAAUGAGAUCCUGUAAAGCAAUCUUUCCAAGUCCUGAGCUUGACACAAUAAUAAAAACUAACCUUUAUUUAAUUAUUGAGGUAGAGGAAGGAGGAUAAAGAACAGGACCAAAGAACAGAAGUUAUUUCCCAGUGAACUUAAACAAUUCAUGAGUUUUCUCAUCUCAAGCAGGAGGGCCUUAACUGCAUUGUCUCAUGCCUUUAACCAGUGAGAGUCAGAGAGAGCUAAGGCACAUCCAACUCCAUUGCUCAACUCCCAGGCGCCCAGCAGCAGGUAUAGAGCGUUGGGAGCUGCACUCUCCAUACUGAUGUUAUAAUUAAUCUUCCACCUCAGUCAACCAAUCAUAGAGUUCCACUUUUGGAAGUGUUCCAACCUGCACCCAGGAGGCUUCUGCAGUCUUUUUUGCUGCCAGAAUGUCCGCCCUGAUUUACACCUGACUUCGGCAACAUCUGAGCAUUCAUAUCUGUGCUACAUGCUGGCUGUAGCCAUGGGUCUCAUUCUGAAACAUCCUUGCCUUCAAAUACAGGCAUGAGGCAGCAGUGGAGGAAGGAGAGGUAAGAAACUAUUCAUCGGCCGAGGCUCUGUGCUGCUGCCUCAUGGGCAUGCUGACGGCAAGAGUUAUGAGGUGUAAACCUGGGUUCACAUCUUGUUUUCUUCUCCAGGUGAGGGUACUUCAUAGAGCUCAGAAGAAACUCAAGGACCAGCUCUCUCGGGCUGCCCCUGUAAUAUGGCCCACUGAGGGCAGGUUCCUGGCUGCCCUUGGAACAGUGCUGCGGUCAUCAGAUGGUGUGAAAGACAAAUGCCUUUGUGCCCUCAAAGGCAACCAGUAUAUAUGGGAGGUGCUGUCCCCCCUUCUGCCACUCAUCAGCUCAUGGUAAACAGAGGCCACUUAGGCACCACUCAAGGCAUUGACCAGUCUGAGUCCUAAUUAUAGGGUCCUACUUACAGCCAUUAUGAACCUCAAAGCCAAACAACGAUGAAUUUUGUCAAAGGACUCCUCCUGGCUUUAGUUGAACAGAAUCAUCAGACUAGGAAGCCAUUAGUGACCUUCAUGAGUUUCCAGAUCUUCAUUCUCAUGGCUCUUAUCAGAGAUUUGGUCUGAGGUGAUAGUGUUAUAGGGCCCUGAUGCAAAAAGCCCAGUGCAGAUUGGCUCACCUGCUGCUGCAUCUUGAUUGUCCAUGGGUGGGGUCUACUCCUGAGGUCUUGGGAUUGAAAAAGUUCACACGGACUGUAAAUCCUGCCAUUGCUACCGAUGACACUUGUACUUGUUGCGGUGUGUCCAUUGUAGUGGGAAGAGCUCUGCUCUUAGAGUGUUAUACAGCCUAUAGGGUUUGGAUUCUUCACAUUUGGUUGGUUGACUUUGAGUCUCAGCACUUUCAAUUGUAAGGUGGGGACAGUACAAACUUACAGAAGUUAUUGUGAAUACACAACCAUCCAAGUAAUUACACCUGCAGAGCUGACUAGUUUACUUUCUUGCUUGCUGUCUGGUAAAACUCUUGCCAAUCAUAGACAAACGAUCAAUGCAUAAGGUAACCUCAUUUGAGAGUUCAAGUUCUGAACAGAAGAAAAGGAUCUCAUUCCUGUUAUGAACAGCUUAGUUAUAAAGUCAAAUGUAAAAUCAAAUAUGUGUUUCUGUGGCAAAUGGUUAAAUUCUUACCUUUUACAAAACAUUCAAUAGUCACAAGGUCUUUACACACUCACUGCUUAUCCAUCAUAUUUAUAUAUGGUGUGCCUUGUUUCUGAGCGAGGACUGUAGCAUGGCCAGAAGGCUGUUCUGAUGUAGAGAGGGAUUUUCCGCUCACGGUAGGACCCAGUACCAUGAGACUGAGGACUGAAACACAAGGUUAACACAGAUCUCCCGAACAGUCCGCUUUAGGGCUGGAGCCUGCUGGGAUCAGUCCUCUUGAGAAGAACAACAAUCUGGUUGAGAUUGAACUUGCCAAAGACAAUGAGACUAAACAAGAGACGCCUGCUGGUAAACAUCAGGGCUGUUGUGUGGAAGCUGAGGGAGGAAGAAGACACAAAAGCUGUGCAUGAUGAUAAGGCUAGUGGGUCUAGUGUUACCAGCACCGCAGAUGUACAGCUCCUCCUAGAGGCAGGGCACAUUCAGAAUAAGCAACAGGGAGCUGCAUGUCAUGUAGUCAAGCAACUGUAUAUUUCUUCUUCAUUCAUUUCUGGGACAUACAUAUGAAAUAUCUUCAGCUUCAUAUCUGAGAUGGCAGGAACAUGACAACAUAUUAGCUUUUAGGUAGACACCCGUAGGUCUUAGGAUGUGGUGGAAAAUUGGGUGUCAUUUUUUCCAGAUAAUCACUGGCAUUUUUAUAAAACAUGAAGCCCUUCCUAAAGUCUGUGCUUCCCAGAUAAUAGUGAGGAGAAAUAGGCUUGUGGAGACCAUAAGGGUUUAUUUUGGAGUGGAUCUUGUAAAUUUGACAGUUUAAUAGUCACGUGGACGCACAGUGUUGUUUGCAGGAGGGGCCAUGAACCCCUGCCCUGAAUGAAAGGGAAAUACUUACGUCCAUGGUAACCAGGGCCAGUGGCAGCCAGGAAGCCAAGACCUGGCCUCCGCUGCCACUGCUCAUACAAACCAACUAAACAUGUGUACGUCACGUAUGGGAUAUAGGAGAAGCACAUCUGAAGGGCUAUGGCAGAAGUGGAAAGAAGGCAAAACUCUUCCACACAGGCAACCCGUGCUUUCCAGACAAAUCUCACAACAUCAAACUGCAAGUAUUCAUGCCACCCCCUACCCCUGCCAACUAGAACUGGCUGUCUGUGUCAGGUCGUCAUCUUAUCUUAGAACACAUCCAUUGAUACAUACACUGUUUCUUCUUCCCUAUUACCUCUGAUACUGCUUCUCUAAAAUAAAAGCUGACCGACUGGUUGGAAUAAUAAUACAUAUACCACCUGGCAUUUUACAGUUUUACAUCAUCUCAGGUGAUACAACCAGGCUAUGAUGCAGUCAUGUCACCAUACUCUUUACCAGAUGAGAUGCAAACUCAGAAAUAUUAGGAAAUGUAGCUGUGAUGGAUUGGGCUAUAAUCAACUUGUGAUGUGGGAGUUUCUCAGAAUCUCUUUCCCUAUAUACAUAUGGUUCCGAGCUAGAGCUGGCCACAGUGAAGCCAUGAGACCUGGGAGGUGAAUGAAGGAGGGGCCAUUAUGCUCUGGAGGUUUUCAUCGUGUAACUGAACACAGGUCCAGAUGCUCACCGCCUGCAGAAUCCAGUUAACAAGAAUGAGUUUUGGUAGAAAGAAAGUGACUUUAUUCACUAAAACUAAUAAAGAACAAGUGGCCGGGUUCCCAUCCAAAGCAACCACUUCAAUUUGGCAGAGAAGAAGACAGGGGUUUAAAAAAGGAACACUUGAUGUGAAAAGCUUGCAAGAAUUGUGCUGAGUACAACGUCUGUGUACCUUGUUCUGGUGGCUAUCUUGGGUCCCAGUUUACCUGGAUCUCGGGCUGGUGUCAUCUCAACAAUGGUGAGGCUGUUGACUCGCCACUUUGAAGUCAUCUCUGGAACUUUGCAGAUGGGUCUCCAGACUUGGUUCAUCUGUCUCAAGAUUACCCCCAAGAGCUUCUAAAAAGGGACAUAAUUAGAUGCUAGCAUACAGGUAGAUGAAUGUGAAGGGAGUAUAGAUGGUGAGAAAGGGAGGGAUGUGGAGUUCAUUUUAAGACAAAGAGGGAAAGGCUUCUGCAAUUUGCUUCAAGGUUAUAUCUUGAAACGCACGAGAAAUAAGUAAAAAGUUUAAAAUGCAUUUUGCAGUUAAACUGCCCAGUUACAAUUGGUCAGAAGUGGUGAGAGACACAGUGGAGCUGACACAGGGUGCAAGUUUGUCUUCACUCUUCCUUACCCCUGUCUUUAUUUCCCGAUUUCCAGCCCUGCUGACUUGCAGUGAGUCCAGGGCCACCAUGUGAUGCUGCACCCCACUCGACAGACCUUUACUUCCAUAGCACCUCACACCAUUCCUGUAAAAGGUUGUUACUGUAUAAUAUUCCAAAUAUUGAGAGUUUCACUCUCAAGUUUGAACUCUGACUGACACAUUACCUGUGGUCUCCAGGUGGGAGGUGAUGUGUUUUUUACACUUUAUAAUUUUUUUUAUUUUUAUCACUCACUAUACUUGACUGUGUUAUGAUUUCUAUAUUCAUCAUUCUUCCUGCAUCAUUUUCUCUCUCUCUCUUUUUUUUUUUUUUUUCUGAGACAGAGUCUCGCUCUGUCGCCCAGGCUGGAGUGCAGUGGUGCGAUCUCAGCUCACUGCAAGCUCCCCCUCAUGGGUUCACGCCAUUCUCCCGCCUCAGCCUCCUGAGUAGCUGGGAAUACAGGUGUCCGCCACCAUGCCCAGCUAAUUUUUUGUAUUUUUAGUAGAGACGGGGUUUCACCAUGUUAGCCAGGAUGGUCUUGAUCUCCUGACCUCGUGAUCCGCCCGCCUCAGCCUCCAAAAGUGCUGGGAUUACAGGCUUGAGCCACCGUGCCCGGCCAUCUAUGUUCAUUUUCAAAGGGGUCUUCCUUAAUGAUAGUGCCCUUGAACCAAAAAUUAAAGAGUUGAUUAAAGUAGUAGAAAAUGGUCAUCUAUACAAGUUUCAUGAUUUAUAAGAACUAUGGAAAUUGCUCCUUAGAAAAUAGCUUUCUAAACAUGAAAAUACACUUGAUUAGAAACAGUACACAUGAGGAACUCUGGUUUCAUGCAAAGUUGAAGGAAAUUCUUGUGAAAUUAAAAAUGCACCCAGAACAGUUGAUGAAGUCUAGUCCAACGAAAGGGUUUUCAACUCUGUUUGAUUUCCAUCUUGUCAAAGAAUCAACUUUUGGUUUUGGUGAAUGAAAUGGUUUGGCUGUUUCCCCACCCAGAUCUCACUUUGAAUUGUAAUAAUCCCCACAGGUCAAGGGCAGGACCAGGUGGAGACAAUUGAAUCCUGGGGCUGGUUUCCCCCAUGCUGUUCUUGUGACAAUGAGUUCUCAGGAGAUCUGAUGGUUUUCUAAGGGGCUCUCCCCUUUGCUCGACUCUCAUUCCCUCUCCUGCUGCUCUGUGAAGGGGCGCCUUCCUCCAUAACUGUAAGUUUCCUGAGUCCCUCCCAGCCAUGUGGAACUGUGAGUCUGUUAAACCCGUUUUCUUUAUAAAUUAACCAGUCUCAGGUAUUUCUUCAUAGCAGCAUGAGAACGGACUAAUCCGGUAAUAUUCUCCACUGUUUUUCUGUUCUCUAUGUUAUUUAGUUCUGCUCUAUUAUUUAUUGUUUCCUUCCCUCUGCUUGCUUUGGGUUUAGCUUGCUCUUCUUUUGCUAGUUUCGUAAGGCAGAGUGUAGUUUGGGGAUUCGAGAUCUUUCUUCUUUCUUAAUAUAAAUGUUUACGGCUAUAAUUUUCCUUCCAAUUACUCUUUUCAUUGCAUUCCCUAAGUUCUGCUAUGUUGUGUGGUAUUUUUGUUUUUACUCAGCUCAAAGUAUUUUUGUGUUUCCCUUGUGGUUUCCUCCUUAAUACUUUGGUAAUUUAUCAGGGUGUUUAAUUUCCAAAUAUUCUUGUGUAUUUUCCAGUUUUCCAUCUGUUAUUGAUUUCUAAAUUCAUUCUGUUGUGAUCAGAAAAGACACUUUGUGUGAGUUGAUUUCAACCUUUUAAAAAUUAUGAAGACUUGUUUUGUGACCUCACAUACAGUCUAUUUUAGAGAAUGUUUCAGGUGCAUUGGGGGGACAUGUGUAUUCUGCUGGGCUUGGCGGAGUCUAAUAAUCUGGGAUUUUUUUUUUUUUUUUUUGAGACAGAGUCUUGCUCUGUCGCCCAGGCUGGAGUACAGUGGCACGAUCUUGGCUCACUGCAACCUUCACCUCCUGGGUUCAAGCAAUUCUGCCUUAGCCUCCCAAGUAGCUGGGAUUACCGACGUGUGCCACCAUGCCUGGCUGAUUUUUGUAAUUUUAAUAGAGACAGGGUUUCACUGUGUUGCCCAGUCUGGUCUUGAACUCCUGGCCUCAAGCUAUCCACCUGCCUCAGUCUGUCAAAGUGAUUACAGGCGUGAGCCGCUGUGCCGGCCCAUUGUUCUUUAUUAUUAAGUUUAAUCUUGUUAGUUUUGAUUCAUCAUUAUAGCUGAAGUGUUUUAUUUUCUAGUUUAAGUCAUUUAUAAACUCUGUAUUUAAAAUAUUUUAUUUUGAAAUAAUUAUAGAUUAAUAGGAAGUUGCAAAGAUAGUUUAGAGAGAUCCUGUGUACACUUUUCCUAUUUUGCCCCCAAAGGUUACAUCUUACAAAUUGUAGUGCAAUAUUAUAACCAGAAGUGAGACCCUGUCUCUAAAAAAUAAAAACAAAAACAGACCAGCCCCAGGAAACGGAUGUUGGUACAAUGUGUGUGUAUAGUUCUAUGUCAUUGUAAUUCUACCUGUAGAUUCCUUGAACUACCACUGUAAUAAAGUUACAGAAUUAUUUUCUCACUACCAAGAUCUCUCUGGUGCUAUUCCUAUAUAAUUACACUUAC
Molecule: long non-coding RNA, 6476 nt
Filed under: Pan troglodytes (chimpanzee)
Lineage: Eukaryota; Metazoa; Chordata; Mammalia; Primates; Hominidae
Description: long non-coding RNA NONPTRT016431
Source: RNAcentral